AAUUAACGUUUUUUGCAGAUGUAUUCCUUUUUGAUUUUACAUCUAUUACAAAACUGUGGAUGGUCUCUUACUGUUCUGCAAUCCUGGAAUUCUUGCACUGUGUGUGUGAGAGACAGCAUAUACAUACCAGCCCUGCAGGUUGCACACCUGUAUAAAUAGAAUACUUUGCCCUAACCAUGGUACUCUGAUUCCUUUACAGUAAGCAUCCAGGGAAAUGUAGCAGUCCCAAGGGACAGCCUUCACUCUUACAGAUCAUAAAACAACAACUGUCUUCAAAGACUGCAUCUUCUCUUGUGAUUUAUGCCUCCGGGGAUUAAAACUGCAUGGAGAUUACAUUCCCCAGGUAGACAAACUGAUCUUCUGUAGAGACGGAUGAUUGACUUCUGACCCUUUUGUCAGCAUUAUCUCUGUAAAAUAAGACUUGUGCACUGAUCUUUUUACAUACAUAGAUCUUUUUCAAAAUUUAUAUGUGCUAUAAACAAGCAAAGGCAUUGCAUGCAGUAUGUUGGAACUGAAGUAAUUUUGCAUAUUUAUGCUUGCCAACACUGAAUUGUGAAUUACAACUUGGCUAACUCACAUGUUUGUUUGGUGAUAUUUGUACUCACCUUCUGAAGGAGAGGUUUGUGAUUAAAAGUGGCAGCCUCCCUAAUGCAAAAUUUAAUGACACAGGAGGAACAUUAGGGAAAAGAGGAGAGGAGAACCAUGAACUCAUGGCUGGUCAGCUAAAAAUUUUUGUCUAGCACGUUGAGGUGAUUGCUGUCUGAAACCAUACAUACCCAAAGUCAUAAAAUAUAGACAGAUUGCUACACUUGAUCUGAACUUCAGCUAUUUAAUGCUUUGGAAUCUAAUGUAGAAAUAACUUUAUCUGAUCUAAAUCUAAUGCUUUGAAAAAGUGAGAGCUUUCUACAAUUUAACGUUAUUGAAUUCCAUAGGUUUGAAAUAUGUUGCAUGGUUUGUGCAUAUUGCAUUCUUCAAGAAGGAGAAAAUCUCCACUAUAAAUGUUAGAAGUUGCCUUGAAAGGAACGAACUGUAGUAUUAAUACAACUGCAAACUAUUGCUAUCCUGAUGAUUCUUAAUGACGUUUUGCUUAGAAUGUAAUAUUUCCUUGUUUGCUUUCCCAGCUGUCUAGAUUCAUAGAUUUUAUCAAUAGUCUCAACAACAGUUUUCUAUGUUUUCUCCUCGUGUCAUUGGACGUCUGUGCUGAAUUAUUUCCAGACUCCAGUAGCCACUGCUGUAUGCAUGGCUGAAAGAGUUAAUUUUCUAUCUUUCAUUGAGGUAGGAAGAUAGCUGGUACUAAAGCUGUGCAGUUGAUGUUUUCUUCAUAAAAUAUUAUUUAAUGUUACAUAUAUUGUUAUGUUGCUGUUCAUCACUUUACCCAUCAUCUGCUUUUAGCCAGGACAUAGCUGGGAAAAGCUGGUUCAGUGCUUCAUACUGUGGCAGUGUUAGGAGGCUGAGGAGACCUGUGGGAAGACAUGGAAGUAACACAUCUGCACUCUGAGGAUGAGUGACUGCCAGCUGUGUUUUACGUUGAAUUUGUGGAGAACUACGUCUUGCUUGCUGCUCUUGGCCAGCCAUGGCAAUUUGUAUGUAGGAUUUCUGUGUCUCUGCUACCCCGUAUGUUAUGAAUAUUUCUUUUGGAGUAGGAUGUUGGUGCCUAAGCCUAAGAUUAGAUGCUGGUAUGUGAUACGUUGUUUACUGCGUUGUAUCGUACCUGGAAAAAUAAAGUGAAGCACUGGAAAAAUGA
Molecule: long non-coding RNA, 1744 nt
Organism: Gallus gallus (chicken)
Lineage: Eukaryota; Metazoa; Chordata; Aves; Galliformes; Phasianidae
Exons: 2
Source: RefSeq, a predicted model, not a curated record